This is a long non-coding RNA of Episyrphus balteatus (marmalade hoverfly), 1492 nucleotides long. RefSeq lists it as uncharacterized. Lineage: Eukaryota; Metazoa; Arthropoda; Insecta; Diptera; Syrphidae. The record is from RefSeq and is a predicted model, not a curated record. The transcript has 5 exons.
ACAAUAAGUGAAUGCAAUCCUUCUCCGCUUUUUGUAAAUGAAGAUUUUUACUUUUAGGAAAACAAUGGCUCUCAAAGCGUCCAUAUUAGGUUGAUCAACUGAAGAGUGAAUGUGAAAAGAUUGCCACUUUGACUUAAAGUAUCGGCAAAGGUGCCGCAACACCAAUCGCUAGCCCGAAACUUAUUUCGUUCUCACCCAAAGCAACAAAACUCCGCAAUCUUGUCAAAAAAAGGACGACAAAUUGGUUGUCCGUCUUGGUGGUAAUGAAGGACUACAAAAAUUUGAUCUCUCUGGUUUGCUGGUACAGAGAAUCUGAUACGUUCAGACGAAUUAAGCUGGAAAACAAAGGCAAACAUGGAAUUUAAAUACGAACGCAUAAAUGUUGACAAAGAAUUCUUCAAAACACGCUCACAAAUCGGACUCAAUAACCAAGCAUAUUUCAUGCACAUAUGCAGGAAAUAUAAAAAUUAUCUAACAACACUUCCAACUAAUGGAUUACAACCUCCUCCAAAUUAUUUAUAUAAGUAAUUCAAUUUCACUUAUGAAUAAAUGGCUAUUUUUUUUAUCAAACUGAAUAUACCAUACAACCUUCGACGUAGACAAAUUUCGUCAUCAACAAUAACAUCCAUACACCUUAUUUACCAGACCGAAAAUUUCAACCCGAAGUAGGCUGUAAUUAUUAGAACUGCCAAAAAAAUAACAAACAAAAAAAAAAAAUGGAAUAUCAAACCAACUAGAAUUGUAUAAUGGAUCAUUCACGCCCGCAUCCGCCUGUUUAGAAAAAAAAAGGAUUUUCUUUACUAAAUCUGCUGGGGCUGCAUUUUCUUUUGUUAAAAAAAAAAAUGAGGAAUAUGGAGUAAUCUAAAAAGGCAAUUUCUUCUUGGUUUGGGCUUUCAAGGCCAUAUUAGUUGCAUGGGAAAUCACAUUCGCACAUUUGUUUCCAAACGUCAUUAAGUUCCUGUUAGAUGCUCAGAUAUUCGAUGUGAUUUUUUGCAAUUGCAAAUGGGCGAGUAUACGACAAUAGUGUUGUGAUAUAUUGUGAUUGGAUGGAAGGUUAAUGACUGUUCGAGUAUUUGUUGCAUCCUCUGUAUGAGACAAAACUACACAUACGCAAUUGAUUCUCUUUGUAUUCGAGAAGGUACUCAAUGUUGAGCCCAUUUUCUUUGCAUUAAGAAUUGGCGAGCGGUUUAUGAAAGAACAUAAAGCAAGAAAUAUUAUUUGGCUGUCGUGACAAAGUUUUUGUGUCCCCAUCUUUAAGAGUAUACAAAAAACUCUCCAUCUGUUCUCAUCGGUGACGGAGGAAUCAACACUUGCACCAGGUCGUGUAUAUUAAUAUGCUUGUAAGACAAAUGGAGCUUAAACGCUUGUCUUUUGAACUCCAGUUCGCCUGCCAUUUAGUAGAUGGCGCAAACCCACGUAUCUGAGAAAAAACACUUCAAAUUUAUGAUUUUGGUUGCAUUCAUACGUUAUUUUUAUUAGUCUGCGAUUGGUG